GGCGUAUGAUGUUGACCAUGUUCUUUGUGGCAUGUAAAACUAGUUCUCUUUUAAUGCUUAGAUAAGAAAAAUUAUUUGUCAUGUUCUUUCUUCUUAUCGCUGGUUGUUCAACACUGUUAAAACUUCUAUUCUUUUAAUUGAAUUCUAUUUAAGGAAUCAUUUGUACAGACUAGGAAUAUGGGUGUCUACCAAUAUCUACCUUAUUCUGUUCCUUAUUUCCAUCUUCCACAUGUAGUGAUUCACUUUCGUUUAUUUUUUCUUACUGAACUAUGUCUUCCGAUAUAUCAAAUGUUUUAAAGUCUGUUUGGUUGAUUAUAGAAAAUCGGGGGAUAGUUCUAAAAUUGCCCAGGGAAGUAUCAUGGUGGAUCGACAAGUUGAGAAUGGUAAAGUGAAACUUCUCUAAUUGUCUGGUCUCGUAUGCCAGGUGUCCUCCUACAGCCGGUAAGAAAAUUCUCUAGCAGUAAACCUCUAGCAAGCGGUCGCAUAUGACUGGAGGUUGAAUACAUUGACCCGGAGUCUGGGAUAAACCUUGCUUUGAUUUUUCGUGGAUACUGAAUUGACGUUUGGGUGAGCCCAGCAUUGACGUUUUCGUGGCCGGCUUGGUUGGACUAAUAGGAAAAAUUUUAGAAUUGAUCUUUCAGUCGGUUUAAUUUCUCCCAAAUUUCUUCU
This 669-nucleotide long non-coding RNA is filed under the name Manihot esculenta (cassava). RNAcentral's name for it is "long non-coding RNA (MESC_LNC001060)". The record is from RNAcentral. Lineage: Eukaryota; Viridiplantae; Streptophyta; Magnoliopsida; Malpighiales; Euphorbiaceae.